Long non-coding RNA from Oncorhynchus keta (chum salmon), 759 nucleotides. RefSeq lists it as uncharacterized. NCBI's taxonomy places the organism in Eukaryota, Metazoa, Chordata, Actinopteri, Salmoniformes, Salmonidae. The transcript has 4 exons. The record is from RefSeq and is a predicted model, not a curated record.
UCCCUAUGUAGUACACUACUUUAGACCACAGUAGUAUGGGCUCUGGUCAAGAGGCGCACUAUAUACGAAAUAGGGUGCCAUUUGGAACAUAUUCCUAGGAUACUAUGAGGUAACAGAAUGUAGAUGAACCCCUAGGUUACUAUGAGGUAACAGAAUGUAGAUGAACCCCUAGGUUACUAUGAGGUAACAGAAUGUAGAUGAACCCCUAGGUUACUAUGAGGUAACAGAAUGUAGAUGAACCCCUAGGUUACUAUGAGGUAACAGAAUGUAGAUGAACCCCUAGGUUACUAUGAGGUAACAGAAUGUAGAUGAAUCCCUAGGUUACUAUGAGGUAACAGAAUGUAGAUGAACCCCUAGGUUACUAUGAGGUAACAGAAUGUAGAUGAACCCCUAGGUUACUAUGAGGUAACAGAAUGUAGAUGAACCCCUAGGUUACUAUGAGGUAACAGAAUGUAGAUGAACCCCUAGGUUACUAUGAGGUAACAGAAUGUAGAUGAACCCCUAGGUUACUAUGAGGUAACAGAAUGUAGAUGAACCCCUAGGUUACUAUGAGGUAACAGAAUGUAGAUGAACCCCUAGGUUACUAUGAGGUAACAGAAUGUAGAUGAACCCCUAGGUUACUAAAAGCUAGACUAAUGUAGAUGGAAGUCAGAUGUUUUGUAUUGGAGCACAUUUACAUGGUAGGUUAUCUAACGUGAUAAUAAUUUUUUUAAAUGAAUGUAUCGGUUCCCACUUAAUUUACAGUGUUAUGUAUUGAUA